Molecule: non-coding RNA, 97 nt
Filed under: Carlito syrichta (Philippine tarsier)
Lineage: Eukaryota; Metazoa; Chordata; Mammalia; Primates; Tarsiidae
Source: RNAcentral
GGCAAAUCUGAAGGUAGUGAGCUAUCUCAGUAGAUUGUUCACAGUUACAGUUCAAACUCCUUGUUCUACUUCCCCCUUCUCACUUGACUAGCCUAGA